UCCCAAAAAUCCCACAGGGGUUGGGAUGCCGUGAUUCCCAGGGGGGCUGCUCCAGGAAUGCCCCAAAAUUCAUGGGAAAACAGCCCCAAAUUCAUGGAGAAACAGCCCCAAAUCCCUGGAAAAACAGCCCCAAAUUCAUGGGAAAAUGGUCACAAAUCCCUGGAAAAAUAGCCCCAAAAUCCCUGGAAAUACAGCCCCAAACUCAUGGAAAACCACCCCAAAUUCAUGGAAAAACAGCCCAAAAUCCUUGGAAAAAUGCACCCAAAAUCCCUGGAAAAAUAGCCCCAUAUCCAUGGGAAAAUGGUCACAAAUCCAUGGAAAAACAGCCCCAAAUUCAUGGAGAAACAGCCCCAAAAUCCCUGGAAAAACAACCCCAAAAUCCCUGGGAAAACAGCCCCAAAUCCAUGGAAAAACAGCCCCAAAUUCCUUGGAAAAAUGCCCCCAAAAUCCCGGGAAAAAGAGCCCCAAAUCCAUGGGAAAAUGGUCACAAAUCCCUGGGAAAAACAGCCCCAAAUUAAUGGAAAAACAGCCCCAAAAUCCUUGGAAAAAUGCCCCCAAAAUCCCGGGAAAAAUAGCCCCAAAUCCAUGGGAAAAUGGUCACAAAUCCCUGGAAAAAUGGCCCCAAAAUCCCUGGAAAUACAGCCCCAAACUCAUGGAAAAACAGCCCCAAAUUCAUGGAAAAACAGCCCCAAAUUCAUGGAAAAAUGCCCCCAAAAUCCCUGGAAAAACAGCCCCAAAUUCAUGGAAAACCACCCCAAAAUUCCUGGAAAAACAACCCCAAAACCUCUGGAAAAAUAGCCCCAAAUCCAUGGAAAAAUGCCCCAAAAUCACUGGGAAAAUGGCCACAAAAUUCCAUGGAAAAAUAAUCCAAAAUCCGUGGAAAAAACAACCCCAAAAAUACUGUAAAAACAGCUCCCAAAUCCCUGGAAAAACGGCUCCAAAUUCCUGGAAAAUCAGUUCCAAAAUCCCUGGAAAAACAACCCCAAAUCCCCGGGAAAACAUCCCCAAAAUCCCUGGGAAAACGGCCACAAAUUCCUGGGAAAAACAGCCCCAAAAUUCCUGGAAAUACAGCCCCAAAAUCUCUGUGAAAAGGGCUCCAAAAUUCCUGGGAAAAUGGCCACAAAUUCCUUGGAAAAAUGGCCCCAAAAUCUCUGGAAAAACAGCCCCAAAAUCCUGAUAAAAUGGCCCCAAAAUCUCUGGAAAAAGAGCUCCAAAAUCCCUGGAAAAACACCCCAAAUCCCUUGAAAAACACUCUAAAUCCUUGGAAAAUGGCCCCAAAAUCCCU
Molecule: long non-coding RNA, 1285 nt
Filed under: Zonotrichia albicollis (white-throated sparrow)
Lineage: Eukaryota; Metazoa; Chordata; Aves; Passeriformes; Passerellidae
Description: lncRNA (ENSZALG00000001499.1)
Source: RNAcentral